CAGCAGCCGCGGUAAUACGUAGGGUCCGAGCGUUGUCCGGAAUUAUUGGGCGUAAAGAGCUCGUAGGCGGUCUGUCGCGUCUGCCGUGAAAUCCUCAGGCUCAACCUGAGGCGUGCGGUGGGUACGGGCAGGCUAGAGUGCGGUAGGGGAGAAUGGAACUCCUGGUGUAGCGGUGGAAUGCGCAGAUAUCAGGAAGAACACCGAUGGCGAAGGCAGUUCUCUGGGCCGUAACUGACGCUGAGGAGCGAAAGCGUGGGGAGCGAACAGGAUUAGAGACCCGAGUAGUCCCUGUCUCUUAUAC
This 301-nucleotide ribosomal RNA is filed under the name uncultured bacterium. RNAcentral describes it as "partial 16S ribosomal RNA". It matches the Rfam family "Bacterial small subunit ribosomal RNA", at positions 509 to 807 of the family's 1533-position model. The record is from RNAcentral.